GGUCGCGGCUUUUCCGUAAAUAAAAUAAUAAAAUUCUGAUAAUACAUAUUUUUUUAAACACUAAUGGCGUUCCUCUACUUACCUUGAAAACGGCGUUUCUAAAUUUCUACUGGUUUUCGAGAUACUGCAGUUAGAUAUUACAGGGUCAUGCCAUCAGGACCAAGAUAUCAACUUGGAUACGUGAUUAUGGAACUUUUACUACAUUAUCAAUUGGUAGACAAAACAAUGACAAGCUUGUAGUCAACAGAAUAAAAUUUAUGUAAAAUAUUAAGUUUAAGUGCAUCUGCCUUGCGUCGUACGUGUGCGCUCCGUUUACUCGCCAUAUUUUAAGUAACGACCGUUAAAAGCACAUUAAAUUUACAUGUUCAUAAAUAUAAUAUCUUAAAUAUACAUUUACUAUUUACUAUACUAUUUACGUCGUCCACCAGCACUUAAAAUUGGGUUAGGAAAAUUUAAAAGCCAAAUUUAUCUCUCGCUGUAUGAACGCACAUUAUACAUUUACAAAAAGAAAAUAACAGUUUCUUACUUGUGGAAACUUAAUCCACCACAACUGCCGAAUCUAUUAGUGCAACCAAAAGCUGCACAAGCUUUCACCAUUACGUAUAUUCAGCGAAAAAUUAAAACGGUGCCAUUCAAAAUAAUGUAAACAUUGGCGUUUUUGCCACCUUUAGCUCUAUCCUUGUCUUUCAACAUCGUCUGCUAGGAUGCUUCAAGUUUGGUUAUACGCUUCCACUCCAUAGACUAUUACCUCCAUGGGUACAGGCUUCAUUGAUUACCCUUAAAAGUACGCCUGCUUCCACUCCAUAGACUAUUACCUCCAUGGUGCGAACCAGAGUGAGCACCGGCGGUUGGCGUCAAUAUGUAACUGAGAUAUACAAAUUAUUACUUAGCACGGUAAAUAUUUCUGAUAUAUUAUCAAAUAUCUUUUUUGUAACCUACUUUAUUAAUAUUUCUGAAAUAUAACUGAAAUAUGUAAUUUGUUACAUAACAUGUGCGAUGUUUCUGAGAUAUAAAUGUGUCGUAUCUUUUGUAAUAUGUAUGUUCAUGAUAUUGGCGCCAAAUAAGUUUUUGUUUUGGUUUGGUAAUGUGAAGUAGGUGAAGUUUGUUAACUUUAGUUUGAAAUCAGUGUUUUUCAUUAAUAGUUAUAUCUUACACGGGCAUGGUGGAAAACCUGCAGGUUGUUGGGGCAUCCAACAUGCUCCGACUAUUGCAGAAGGAAGGGGCAGAGGUGGAGUAUUUUAAAGACAGUGCUACAGAGAAAGUGAAGAGGAAAAUUGGCGCCUGCGUGGCUGGACACACAAUCCAGCAGACAUACAACCAGUUGAAGAGGAUGGAGUACAGUGCCAAACUCCUCAACAAUUUGGCUCUUCUGGUUGGUGUUAAUGACAUUGUGAGAGGAGGGGAUUUAAAGAAAAUGAAGUUGAGAAUGAAGGGGCUGCUGAGAUUUCUAGUGUUUCGCAACAAAAAAGUUUUUCUGAUCACCAUUCCCCCGUUCAGGAGGAUUGUGGGGAAUGGUGAAUCCAGAGACAAGCUUACAGCUGGAAUAACUACCUGCGCCAAGAAUCCCAAGUUGCACAGAGCACUGGUCGUCGGCAGAGAGUGUUUAUCAUGGACUUUGCUUCAGUGGCAUCUCGGUGCAGGAAUAUUUACGAAAGAGAUGGUCUUCAUCUCUCUUGGCAAGGCCUGAAUAUGCUAAGAGAUUCACUGAAGAAAGUUUCAAGGAAUGAGUUGCGAGACGCCGGCCACAAUCCCAGUGAAGUGUCCAUCGACACAUUGUCGGAUGUUACUGAGGAGGUGGUCAGGCGUGGGAUUGCAACUAGGUCUUUCUGGGAGGCCAGCACUCAAGAACAGGAUCUGGAUGUGGUGUGCUCUCCAAAUAGCUCAACUUCAAGUGUGUACUACUCUUGCUCAGAGUAGCUCAGGUGCCACAGCACUGAAAAUGGCUUGUUCAUCAGUCGGUAUGGACAAGGCACCAAGAGGAGGCUGGAUGAGCCGUCACCAUCAGCUAAUGCCACCUACUUGAAGAUUCAUAUAACUUAUGAAGAAAAGUGUUUUAUCUCCAAGGGAUGGCUAGCAUGUACAGUAGAACCUCAUUUUUACGUACCCGUGAUACACGAAUUCCCAAGAUUAACGUACUUUUUUACUUGCGCCGUCAAGUUUCCUAUACUAUUGAAUAGUUAUUUGCUCUGGAGUAAUAAAUAAUAAUAAUAAAUAAUAGUUCUCUGAAUAGUUACUACUAUUCUUUAUAUUAAUCUUACUAGAGUGUAUUUAUGGUUUUGCUGUAGAUAAUAAUAAACCACGUUGGUGAACACUCUGAGUAUUUACUUUUUAGUAUAUGUAGAUUCUUUGAUUAUUUUGAAUUGUUUCUGGGCGCCACUCUUAUGUAAAACUUAACCUCGUUAUCAGGAUAGGACAAGUGUAGUGUAAUACAUAAGAGAAAAAGAAAUAAUAUAACACUUCAGAUCUAGGGUUGGUAUAAGAGUGACAACAUGUAAUUUAGGGUCAUUAAAAACAAACAUAUAUACUGUAAAGUAAUAAUAGAAUAAAAUAGAGUUAAACAAAUAAUCUUUAAUCAGACAAAAAUAUAGAUAAUUAUUGGUUUGACCAGUGGUAUACUCUUAUGUUUUCAAAUAAACAGGAGAUAUGUUGCACACAUGAUAAAAUACAACAAAAGUUCAUAAAUUCAAAUUAUCGUGUCUGUUGCUCUCACUCUAGAUCGAAUUUAUUGUGUUAAAAUAUAGUUUAUUAUCUUUGUCAUUUAAUUUAAAUUAGUGUACCUCGGCUGAAUUCAGUAUGUAGGUAUGGUAGAACAUCAUGAGAACUCCGUCUCAUUUCACCUCUGGGUUAGAACUAAGAACGUGUAAAUCAGAAUGGUAAAUGCAGAGAUGCCAAGUACUACGGAUUUCGUUACUUGACUACGGCAAUACAGAUGGUAGGUUAAAACUUCAGAUUUAAUGCAUUUUAUGGUUUUUCGGUUUGUUUACAUCACGCUGCAGCAGUAUGCGGUAUGUUGUGUCCGUGGUUCCAUAGAUAUAUGCAUGUGUAAUGUCACACUUGUGAAACAAAAUGCCCAUGACUCACGUUUCGUAACAUUUUAUUUUCAAGUGUCCAGUAAUGACUCAAUAUAUCUAUGCCAUUUCGUUUUGCUUUGUUAUUUUCCGGUGUGUCGGUUAGGUUAUGUGUGUAUUGAUUCCGUGUGUAUGCUACACAACAUUUGGCGUGUUAUUUGCGAUAUAAUGACAGAAAAUGUCGAAACGUAAAAGUUCUAUCACUGAAAAUAUGUGCGAGCCUUCAAGUUGGAAGAAAUCUAGCGGGCGGCUACCGAAUCAGCAGUAUCGGAGAUCUUACACGGAAGAAUAUCCAUGCCUACAAUCUUCAAAAACAUCUACAAACAAAGUGUUUUGUGAGACGUGCAAGUGUGAUUUUUCUGUAAAACACUGUGGGCGCGAUGAUUGUAGGCGUCAUGUCGCAUCCAAAAAACAUUAAGAAAAUGGUAGCCUUAGAGGUCAGUGUAAACCACUUACCUCUUUUUUCACAUCUGCUGAAGACACAAGUGUUAUUUCACACGAUUUCUCAUUGAACACAAUUUGCCGUUAUCAGCAGCUGAUCAUGCAAAACCGUUAUUUAAAGCAAUGUUUCAUGACUCAAAGAUAGCAGACAAAUAUUCGUAUGGGAGAACAAAAACCACCGCAAUUGUGAAGAGCAUGUCUGAUGAAACUGUGGCAGGUAUCGUAAAUAGGAUUCAGAUUGCACCCUUUUCUUUGGCAACAGACGGUAGCAAUGACAAUAACGAUUGUAAAUUGUAUCAUUUUGUGGUUACAUAUUAUUGUGAAGUAAAGGAACAGGUUAUGACACUUCAGCUUUACUCGUUGAGUGUUUUGACAACACAGGGGAAGGAAUAUUUAAGAUAUUAGACAAAGAGUUGAAAAGUAUGUCAUUGAAGUGGGAAAAUUGUGUGUCAUUUGGAUGUGAUAAUGCCAACACCAUGAUUGGUAAGAAUAAGGGUAUUCUUGCAUUUCUGAAGCAGCAGCAUCCUGCAAUGAUAAUACAGGGCUGUGUGUGUCAUCUGCUUCAUUUGGCAUCAAAGAAAGCAACAAAAGCAACAAAACAUUGGAAUUGGCUUUCAACGUUGAAUCAUUCUUGGUAGAUGUAUAUUUUUAUCUUGAAAAGAGCUCUAAAAGAAAAAUGCAUUUGAAAGUUUGCCAAGAGAUGUGUGGACCUGAACUUAAAAGCCAUAAGAUAAUGAAGCAUGUUAGCACUAGGUUGUUAUCUCUCACUGAAUCGGUAAAGAGGGUUUUAGAGCAAUGGGAAGCACUGAAGAUAAUGUUUCAUGUUGGGGAAGAUGCCAAUGCUAGUGAAAACCAUGACAGUAGAUUUAUUGGUGUGAAAACUGUGAUGGAAAGUGGCCCUUCAAAACUGUAUCUUUUGUUUUUGAAAAACAUCCUACCAGCUUUCAUCAAAUACAAUGUAAUGCUACAGCAAGAAGCUCCAUACAUACACAAAGUUGCUAGACUACUAAAUUCUUUGCUCAUGGAUUUACUAGUGAGGUUUAUCAAAUCUGAUUCUUUGGGAAAUCAGUCUGAAAGUGGUUUGAAUUUUCUUGCAGAUAUAAAUGUUGUGAACAGAAAAAUUCAAAAACAUAAUGAUGACCUUGUGAUUGGUGUUGCAACAAGGCAGUACAUGAAACAGGCAAGUACAAUUGGGUCUUUGUCUGCUGAUGACAUUAACAAGUUUUAUAAAUGUGUGAGAAAUUUCUAUGCUGCAGCAUGCACAUAUAUUUUUGACCCUGUUUUGAAACAUGCAGAAGUUGUGGAUAUUUCAACAAGAAGUACUGUUUCAUUUUCAUCAGUACUUUUCUUUGUUGACUUAUUUCCAAACGUAUUUUCUAGCUGUGAUUAAGAUAGAUUGGAAGUUGAGUUUUCUUUCUACCAGGGAGAUCCCCUAAAUGAAGACAUUUUGCAGACAGAAAGAAUGGAUAUUGCAUGGGCAAAAAUGUCCAAAUUAAAGGAUGCAUCAGGGUGUAACAAGUACAAAGAACUUCCUAAGGUUAUGCUUACAGUGCUUGUUAUACCACACAGCAAUGCUGCGACUGAGCGCAUAUUCAGCAUUGUUCGCAAAAACCAUACAGACUUCCGAAGCAACUUGAAUACAAAGACUCUUAGUGCACUGUUGGUGGAAAAAACAAACAUGGUGUCAUGCUCUGAACUAUGUUAACAAAAACACUUUUCAAAGGACCUAAUGAGCGCCGAACAAGCAACAAAAAAUAUGCUGCAAGACAAAUAAGUAGUAAUGGUUUUAUGGUUACAAUUCAGCUCGGAUCGUGCGUACACAUUUAUCUAAUUUAAAGUAAGAGUAUAUUAAGUUCUUUAAAUGUUUUUCUGAUAUGUAUUUUGAGUGAAUAUUUUCUCUAAAUUGCAAGUUACCUUUAAUUUGAGGCCGUGUUUGGAUUGUUUUAUGUGUUUAGCAGACAUUAUUUGUUCAAAUACGGUAUCAACCCUCCCCAGUCUCCUAAUGGCAUUUCCACCAGGAAAAUGGUUUAAAUAGCACCAUUUUGCACUUACUAAACAAAAUUUUCCCUCGGACCUUCCCCCCCCCCCCCCUUUUUUUUUUUUCACUCUUUAUUAUGCCAAAUGUUGCUCACUACUGACAGGCACUCCACAAGGUUGGCAUCUCUGUAAUUGUCUUAAAAAUUGUUUAUCUCUGCAGGGCUUUACUGUGUUCGACACAAAAUCAAUAUUUAUAUGCGUGUUGGCAGGAUCAAAUUACGUAUAUGCCGAAAUACGGUCUCUUCAAAGUAGCAUUAUGAGUCAAUUUUACUCAUGUUAAUUUCACACAGAAUUACACAUCAUAUAGGAUGUGCCCUAUAUAAAUUACAUAUAAUUAUGUUUAAACGGCGAUUAAAAACAUCCCUUCAACUGGAUGAUCUAUUUAGCUCGUAGAAUUAUCAUAUUUUCAAGGGGAUUGAAACCCAGGCUGUCUAGCCAACGCUGCAGUCAUUCCAAACUUUUUUCUUAACUUAAUUAAUGAUGCUUAACUUAAGCAACAUGGCCUCUCAUUGGCCGAGACACAAAGAUCGUUGACUUAAUUAACACAUCAAAACAAAAUACAGACAUUCAACAGUACAUCUUAAAAUACUAAAAUGUCCCAAAUUUAAAAAGUGAUUUUUCAACAAUGAAAGUUCUUUUAUGCAAAUUACGUGCAAAAAGUUCAAUUUGCCGUUUAAGUCAUUAUUUCCCUAGAGGGGUCUUGCUAAUUGAGGCUUCAAAGUCACUUGGGCUACGCCAUAGAGUGUAACACUCGUAGAUACAUCCAACUAAACAACAAUAGAGCAUAGACAUGAAAAUGUAAACAAAUAAUAAUAAUUAUAAUUAAAAAAUGUUAUUUAUAAUAAAAACAAUACACUUUCUGUGCACGGAAUAUUCAUGUAACAGCACAGAAUUGCCGCUCUUGAUAAGCAUAGUGUGCUGCCGCUUUAAAAUUUUUUAAACAAAGCACAGUAUGUUUUUCAGUUGAAAACUCGCUGCUCGAGUUAAAUAAAAAAUAAGUUCGUUGCCAGGCAACGUCUCGCGCGAACCACAAAAGGGCGAAAAGAAAGAGGGUGAAAAAAAACUUUGGCGCGAGAAAGGACACCUGUCCCGCACCCCUCUUCCUGACUCGUGGACGAUUCCCCUCAUUGCGCGGCACUCCGUUAUAGAGUUCAGACCUGCGCUUGCCGUCAGUGCAUUUUCGCGGGAUAACUUGCAAUCUUGUUGAAGUUCUCGUAGUCGUCAGUCCUGGAACUAAGUUGGAUGCAGUGGCACUCGGAGGACAAUACUCACGGUAUGUAUACGUCGCAAUGCAUUGUCAAGUAUUAUUCUACGCAUUUAUAUUAUGUAAAGAUUACCUACAAUCUUGGAACACAUGAGAUAAUUUAGCCUUAUUUUUAUGGGGACUAAUGCUUCAGAAUACGCGAUUUCGAAUAACACGAACAUUUUUAGGAACACAUUAGUCAUGCUAAGUGAGGGAUUGGUGUAUUUUCCCGACUUAUGCGAAAGCAUUUAUUGUUGUUUACGUUGUAAAAGCACUGUAUUUCAUAGCAGACAAUUGGAAAAAUUAAAAUGGAACAAUAAAUUCUGAAAAUGAAUUGCAUGAAGUGUAAUUAUUAUGCGCCACUGCAUAAGUGUGCGGUCACCCCAGCAGCUUCGUUCACUGUUGUAAACAUCUUACUUUUUUUGUAGGGAUGGGACGAAUCCACAUUUUGAUCGAAUCUCGAAUCCCAGUCCCACACUAAACUUCACCACAUGUUAUUUAAAAAAAAUCACAUGUAUAUUUAUAAAAUUUUAAAAUAAGUGCAUAGUGUAUACACCUGAUAUAAAAUAGAGACAAAUAACCUCAAAAACCACACACGUAUGUUUGCAUCUGUCUAAUUCUCUGUUAAAUUAAUCCUUCCUAUGUUUUCAAUAAAAUACUUUUGUAUAACAGGCACCAUUUAAAAAAAGUUACGUUUUUUUCUGCAAUGUUAUAUUAUUGAAGGUUGGAAAUGAUCGAGUAGUUAUGCUAAUUGACAAAAUGCAGUGUAGUUUAUCUUAUGUUUGUGCUAUUUUCGUUACCUUUAUAAUAUAGUUUUGGGUAUACAAUUUUCUAGAGCUGGACGAACCUCUGUUCUCUGGUUUCGAACUGAAUAGAACCAUAGCAAAAAAAUUUUGAACCGAGCCGAGCCGAACCGAACCUCAUACAAAAAUAAUUGUUUUGAAUUAAAAUGAACCGACCACCAGCAUUUUGGUCUUUAACUGAAUGGUCCAUAUCUGCCAACUUGUACGAUUUUCCCGUAAUUUGUACGGAAAAUAAUUCAUAUUACGAUUGUACGGAAAUCCGGAACAUCUUACGAUUUUUGUCCGUUCAAAAAUGCAGUAUAAUAUUUUAGUGCCCAUAUAAAUGUACCGUUUGAAAAGCAUUUGUUAUUGUUUAACAACAUGGCGUCCGCGAUAAUAUGAGAAUAAUGGAGUCUGAGAAAAAUUGUUCCGAAAAGAAAGUAAUUUUUGUAAGUUUCGUUGGUACACAGCAGGCUGGAUGGCAACUGAUCUUGCGAAUCUUUUGUGCGGAAGAGUCAUGAAAGUAAUUUUUGUGAGUUUUGUUGGUACACAGAAGGUUGGCUGGAGACGAGUGAUAACGAUUUAAACCGUUUAUGUACGAGUGCGGUAAAUAUUUUAUAUAUUAGCGCUUGUACGAAAUGUAAGAUAAUAUGAUUUCAUAAUGGCUACGAGUAGUAAAAAAACAAUAUGGACAGGUGAUUCGGUCAUCUUACUCAGAACUAUUUCUUUUCAUUACUAAGAGUGAAAAAGGCUCUAAUUUUGCGUUUUGUAGUGUUUGUCGUUGCGACAUUGUUUCCCAUGGCGGCAAGCACGAUAUUUCCUAUCACGUCGAGAGCUUGAAACAUGCAAAUAACACGAAUAACGUGAACCAUAACAGUGACAGUGAUGAAUGUGAUUAGGGCGGAAUGUUAUUUUACAAGCUUUUUAGUGGAACAUACCUUCCAUUCAGCAUCGCCGACCACGCCGGGCAUUUGUUUCGAAAAAUGUUCCCAGGGUCUGAUAACGCAAAAAUAUACAGCUGUGGGCGCACUAAAACUGCAGCAAUAGUAAAAUAAAUGGCUUCCAAUACUCCUACUUCAGUAGUAAAGUGCUUGCAAAGUGGCCCAUAUACACUAGCUAUUGAUGGAAGCAAUGACACAAGUAAUAAGUUAUAUCCUCUCGUGGUAACUUAUUACAACCCUGACUGCAGGUUAGUAACUAGUUGUGUUUUGGCCAUACCUUCAUUGGAAGGUGCUUCUACUGGUAAAAAUAUUGGGCAGUUAUUGCUAUCAGAACUUGAAAGUAUGAAUGUGCCAAUUCAUAAUUGUAUAGGUUUUGGCUGUGAUAAUGCAGCAGUUAUGGUUGGAGUUAAAAAUGGUGUUAUUUCUGUAUUAAAAGAAAAGCAGCCAAAUUUAGUAAUCAUAGGUUGUCUGUGCCACUUAAUUAAUUUGGCUGCAGAAAAGGCUUCUGCAAGUUUGCCAGUGAGGGUGGAAGAAAUACUUGUAGACAUUUAUUACUUUUUGGAAAAAAGCUCCAAAAGAAAGGAAAGGCUGCGUGACUUUCAAGGUCUCCAUGAUAAAGAAGCUCAUAAGAUCCUGAAGCAUGUGUGUACGAGAUGGCUGUCUUUGGGAAGAUGUCUAGCUAGGAUUAUUGAACAGUGGGAACCUCUUGUAAGUUUUUUCAAAAAUGAGGUUACAGGGAGUUCUCAGAAACAGCCAGGCACAUUAUCAUCAUACAAGAUCCCAAAAAAAACAGCAAGGGCCAUCCAGCAGAACUACUGAAAGUAGUGCUAGUACCGGUAAAAGAAAGAAAGAGGACAACCCUUCUGAUGUGAAAAAACAGAAAAAGGAAUAUUGUUGUUCUGUUUUAAAAAGUGACAGUGCAAUGUUGAAGAGUAGCAGUCCUGCCCUGAGUCGUGAAGAGUAACUUUUCAUGUUUUUAUCUUCUUCACUAAACAAGGCAUUCUGUUUAUUUUUGCUGAAUGUUGUACCGGUCUUUGAUAAACUAAAUGUAACACUUCAGUCUUCAAGUCCACACAUCCAUGUAUUGUUAGAUCUCCUGCAAGAUUUUCUGAGAAAUCUCUUAUUGCAUUUUGUUUGUGGUAGUGCUGUGAAAGGUGUGGCGUUGUUGGAAGUUGAUUACCAUUGUGCAGCCAAUCAAAAGUGUGACAGUGAGUUAAUGAUUGGAUGUCCGGCUGAGAGAAUUGUUAGUUUGUUGUCAGAUGAGGAGAAAAAAGUUUUUUUCCAGCUGUCAGAAAAUAUUUUACCUCAGCAUGUGAUUAUGUUGUACAUAAGUUUCCCAUGAAGAGUGAAGUUCUUGUCAAUGCUCAAGUAGCAAAAAUAAGUGACAUCAGUAAUGCGAAAUUUGCAAAUCUGAAAUAUUUAAUUGAUUUGUUUCCUUUCAUACUGCCAGUCAGAGAUGGUGAAGGCAUUGAUGGUGCAAUGGAUGAACUGCAUAGGCAGUUUGCAGCAUUGCAAGUUGAAGAUCGCACUGUUGUAAUAAAUAAGAAAGAGAGAAUUGAUAAUAUAUGGACUUAAGUAGGAAAUAUGCUCACUGUUGAUGGAAAAUUAAAAUAUGACAGAAUUUCAGAAACUGUUUUGUCGAUACUUUUGAUUCCCCAUAGCAAUGCGGAGUGUGAGAGAAUGUUCAGUAUUACAAAAAAAAAAAGAACAGAAUUUAGGUCAUCGAUGAGCAACAGAACAGUGCAGGAUAUAACCAUUUUGAAGAGUGGAAGCUCACCAGUUUGCUACAAACAAGUUUUUAGUGAUGAUUUUUUAAAAAGAGCUAAACAUGCUACUGUACAGUAUCUGCAGAAUUCCAGUGCAGUCAAGUGGUCGUAGGGAAUAACUUACUGUUUUUUUCCUACACUGUGUGUUUGUGUGGCAGUUUUUUGUACAUAUUAACAUUAACUCGAACUACGUUGGCAAGAAGUGAUUUUUUUUUCUGAACUGAUAGUAAUGACAUGCUCUAAAGUGAACUUAAUUUUAUGAUUUGUGCUCCAAAGGGGAGAAACUAAAGGACUUAUGAUAAAGGCCUAUCUCGGUAAGAAAAUAUAUAUACAUUAACUUGUGUACAUGUGUAUUAAAUCAUUUAGUUUGCAUUCAAGCUGUUAAGUUUUAAUAAAUAACAUUAACUUGUUAUUUAACUUUCGUAUUUUGGGUAGAAACGUGGUGUUAUCAAUGCAAAAUAAACACAUGUUUUCCGGAUCACUUAUUUUAAACAUCGCGCCUGAUUUACACUAUAGAUUUGUUAAUUUGGACAUCUUACUGCUUGCACUCCUAACAAGUUGGCAGGUAUGGUGAGAAAGAAAGGUUCUACAGCCAUAUGUAAAAUUAAACCAUUAUAUAGUGUGCCGGAAAUUAGGCAUUUCGUCACUUUUUUUUUUAAUUUUUUCUAUAAUUUUAAAAUUUUUUGGGGUUUCUAUUUUUUUUAAAUUUAUCUGGUUGUUAAUGGGGGUGAUUUACUUUUGUUAGGCCGGUGUACGCCACGGAUUUAAACUUUGUGCCAGUGGACCGAAGCCCCUUCCCAGGGGGCCAAUCUGAUAUUUUGCUGUCUAAUGUGGACAUGGUCAGCCCGGUUGAAAUUUCUCUCGCCUGCAGUCACGUCCCGAGUUUGUAAUUUUAAUUCCCUGCAUGACCAAAACUGCUUUGAGCAGCUCCGGGGCUGCAAGCUGCUACCUUGUAGAGGCCUGCUGAGAAAAGCAUGUCUCGUCACGAAGCAGUCUCCAGUGGAGCUGCGUUCCCACCUUAGUGGCUAUUUCUGCCCCCCCUUUCUCUCUCUCCUCCUCACUUCAGUUCUGAGAAAUUAGGCUAGGAGCAGUGACCGGACGGGACGAUGACCUGAUGCAAAAACCUUCUCCCGGGUACGACAGACUCAUCCCCGACAUCUAGCGGAGAAAAAAAGUAACCGCGGGCCUGGUCGCCAGCGUGCAGAGGUUACCCUCAUGACACCUGGUGGCAAGUCUGCUCACCACCUCAAGUAGUUCCCCCUUACGCCGCUAGAAGGCAGCGUCGCGGUGCCAUAAGGCACUAUGCUUUCCUCUCGCGGCCCGGAGAAGUCGAUUGUUCUUUGCUUUCGUUUAGGUCCGGUAGAGAGCGCGCAUGUCGUGUUGUUGUCACGACCGCCUCGGACUCCUUCGGAAAUUUUCGGCUUAGAACCGAACCUACCCCCUCCUUUGACCCGGGGCCUUACCGCCCGAUUUAAUUAGGUGCUUUGGCCGAUUGCGGGGCACUCAGCCCUCUGACCUCGGCUACUGACCUAGUCUCCUCUACGUCCUCUGGGCUAAGAGGCUUUUUGCGGGAACGGUGAUUUUCGCGUGCACGAGAAUGUAGUCAGUUUGCUUAAGGGAUGUGAUCCCGUUUGUACAGUAGCCAGGCAGAGGUAGUUUUUAGAAAAGUCAUGCGUAGUUAAAUUUUUAUUUCUUCUUAUUUAAUUCUAAAAAUUCCGGUUUCGUCCGCGCAUCCUGACUUCUCGGUCCGCGGCAUCCUGUUGUCGGCGCGAGACACCUAGUGAGCUCCGAACUCUACACCCUGGUUGGUGAGUUAUCCUUUUUUCUUCUCCCCAAAUUCCCGUUUUUUGGCCUUUUGCGCCGACGGUGUAGGACUGUCUGGAAGCAAGUCUAAUUCGUUUUGAAUUUGAUUUGGGUUUCAGACAGGGUCGAAGUGCUGGAGAGACAAAUUGCUCCCAGCUCGUGGUCCUGCACCUCCACUGCGGGUCACGUUAGAAGAGAGGUUUCCGCGACCCGACGUUAUUUUUUGAA
Bacillus rossius redtenbacheri is the source of this 12309-nucleotide RNA transcript. RefSeq lists it as uncharacterized. The transcript has 8 exons. NCBI's taxonomy places the organism in Eukaryota, Metazoa, Arthropoda, Insecta, Phasmatodea, Bacillidae. The record is from RefSeq and is a predicted model, not a curated record.